UAUGUGGGGAGAGGAGUGAUAUACCUCAAACUGCUACUUUUUGAACAAUUAGAAAGAAGUGUUAAGUAUACAUAUGGAAUUAGAAGAAAACCAAUCGGUUUCAUCCAGUGCUAGUCCUACUCAGAGUAGACCCAUUUAAGUUAUUGGCCAUGAGUAUAUCACUAUUAUACUUAAUGGGUUGUAUCUAUCUCCCUGUCUUCACAACAACAAAAGCAACAACAACCCUGUCUCGAGUCACCCAGUGAGCUAGGAAACUGAAGGCCUUAAAAGUAUGAGUUAUAUGCAAGGCUACUCCAACUCACAGUAGACCCAGAGAAGGUAAUGAAGACAACAAACUUAAGUUCAUCAGCUGUGCAGUUUGUCUACCCUUGAGUAUUUUAAAACCUCCACUAACAAUAGCAUUGCAAACUAUUCAUCUAGAAUUAGUGGACAGGGAUGGGAGGACAGUUAGGAGAGCUGAUGGGCCAAGAACCUUCCCAAAGUGGUUAGCUAGUAAAUCCCAUUACCUCGGCUGCUUCUCUCUCUAGAUGCCCCUAUUGGCUUUUCAUUGGUAACUCAAAAGGUUGGAAUAUAUGGCUCAAGGAGACUGCAAGUUGCUGACACAUCAUGUCAACAGAACAGGAUUGGUUAAUGUCAAACUAGUAUGCCACUCUAGUUUAUCAUAGGCACCCACAAAAGCACACCUAGCUUUUUUAUUGUUGCUCUAAGCAGGAUUAUACUGAUUUCUAACUGCAGUGAUUUUGUUUUCCCAUCAUGUUGUCAGACUGUUGAACCACUGGGCAUUAUCCAGUCACAUUGCAAGCCUCAUAGAAACAACCAACAUGACAUCAAAUCCUUUUGACACACUUAAGAAGAUGAUUUUUUAAAAAUCCAAAACAGGUCACAUGAAUACAAAACUGCAUACAACCCUUUCUGAUCUUGGCUGUUCUUCCAUUCCUUUCGUCGUCCUAACCCUGAUUUGGUAUGCAGCCCAUGGGGCGGUCAUGCCUGCUGGCAAACAAAGGGAAUUGGAAAUCAGCAUUACAUUUGAACUCUCUCCCACCCCUUCGCUUUAUUGAUGCCCAUAAGGCUGGACAUAGUGACCACUCUCUCUCUCCCCCCCCCUUUAUUCUGAGUCCCCUUUGCCCAAAGAGAGAGGAGCUUAGAAUGCAGCCAAACCAUUAUUGUCUGGCAGUAUGUGAGGUACCAUAUUCCUCAUUUUUCUCAUUUCAAAUGCGCAGGAUUCCCCCUCUUGUUUCAAAAUCCCAACUCCUAAAAUGUCACCCAGGACCCUGCAGCUCAGAUCCUUGCAACUCGACAGCUUGAAUUUACUGCUUCCCACUGAGUCAAUUAGGGUUUUUUUACUCCUCUCUAUUCCUCUCACUUGUGCUGGAGCCUCACCCUUGGGGCUGGACGUCCCAGCUGCGAUCAUGCUUAUGCUUAGCUGUCAUUGCCACAAAGAAGACUGUAGCAGGGUGUGUACUUUGGUGAGGAUGCUAAGUGUUCCCCAAUAUAUUGUGGCAAUACAAUGGGUGGGGCUGCAGCCCUCACCGAUAUUGCUGAACUACAAAUCCCAUCUUCUCAUACAGUUGCCCACCAGGAGGGCCACAUCUCCCCGCACCAUGUCCUAAGGACAAGGUUCUGACAGUGGUAGGGACUAUUCCUGCACAGGUUCUGUGUCAGCCACUGAAUGCAGUGGACUCUGAGAUGGAAAAGUCAACUCCCCCCCCCCCCCGAAAGAAGAACACUAGAUGCUUCCUAGGACUGCUGCAUCAGUCCAGUGGACUGUCGUUUCUAAUUCUGUCUGGAGCCAUGACUGUUCUGGGAUAACCCCAUCCCCAUCUUUGGUGAAGUCUUACUUGAAUAUACUAAGACCUUUUCAGCAGCUAUGCACAGCUAAGAGACUCUGCAAGCAAGGAAAGAGCUUAACUCAAGAGCUUAACUUCAUCCCCACCAUGCUGCUAAUGCUGCUGUGUUUCAGCCCCAUUGCCUUAUCCACCAGGUUAAACAAUUCUCAAUCACUCUAUCUUUGUACAAAGCAAGGAGGAAGAAUCAAACUGGCUUCCCUGUUUUUCACCUAGUCUGCUUUGCAUUUUUUUUGCUUUGCUUGGGGAGUAAUAAGUCCUUUCAGUGCCUGGCGGCUUGCAAAUAACCCCGGAGAGUCUGUCCUGUCCCUCACCUCCUCCUCCUGACUCUCCAUGAUGGCUUUUAUGCUCCCCCGCUUUAUAAGUGGUUCUUUUAUGCCUUUCUUACAAUUGAAAGGAAACCCCAAACAAACAAGGGGGACAACAACCUCAGAGAGAGAGAGUGGGUAAAAUGCUUGGUAAUCCAGUACUGCCAGCAACUAUUGCAGGGAAAUCCAGAGUUAAGAGCAGAAAAGCCAGGCAAGUGAGCAGGCUGCCCUCACCUCAUCUCACCCUGCGGUGCUGAAAACUCUUCCUGGUGCCUGGUGUUCCCUAUCAAAUGUACUUGAUUAGUUGGUCGCUAGAGGGUGAGUUGAGGACAGCCUCCUUUGCUUGGAGUUGCAUGCUGAGUUUGGAGUUUACCCCCCCCCCCCCUUGAGUUAUCAAAAGUGCUGCAUAAACAGUGUUCUUCAACCUUGUGUCCCCAGAUGUGGGUGGACUACAAAUCCCAUCAUCCACAAACAUUUUAGCCUCAAUUGUCAAGGGCCAUGGGAGUUGUAAUCCACCCUCAUCUGGGGACCCAAAGUUGAAGAACACUGACUUAGAAGAUGCUGGGCAUCAUACUGUAAAUGAGCAGCUAACCUUACUUGGACCAACUAGUGCGAAGCUUUUAAAUCACAUGCAGAGAAUUUGCUUUCCAGCAUCUGUUUCAUCUUGGUGUUUUGCAUCUGCAGACUUUUUCAUUUCAACAAUGGGUAGCGGAACUUGGAGGAGGCACGUCAUUAGCCCCAUGGGAACAAAGCAGAAAAUGGAAAAUAGAUAAAUAAAAUUUCCUAUAGCAAUAUGAUAGUUACCAGUACAAAGGUGAGGGCACCUCUCAGUUGCAUAUCAGGUACAGUGCCUGUCCUGUUUUGGUUGAUAGUUUAGUUUUUUUGUUAGUUUGUUUUAGAAAUAAUGGAAGCAAACCAGAGAGGCUUGUCAAGGGUGGGGAGAUUUAAUGAGAUAGGACCGAUAAAUGGUAGGGCUCCGUUUUAAGGAAUAAAUAGUAAUGUGUGUGUAUGGUGAAUGUUAGGGGUUGUGAUAACAAGUUUUGGAUAUCUAAGAAUUUCCCCCCAGAUAUUCUGUACAUUUAGAAAUGCUUUCAUAAAGAAGAGGGAGAAAAAUAAAGUUUUCUAAAGAGAAAAUGAGAAGCAAAUGAGUUCAGCAAGGAAGAAAGAUAAAGGUUCCUUGUGGGCAGAAUUGCUGAGUGGUAGAACUUUUUUUUUUUUUUGGUCUAAGCAAAAUGCAGGAUCUACAUCUCAGGAGGAUUUAAAGUAGAGUUUGUCAGAUAUUGUUUAAGAAUGCUUCUGCCACACAGUUUUAACUGCAGCAUAUGACCUGUGGUUUGGCAUUUCCAUCCCUGCAGCCCAGAGCGGUCUGGCUAGCACUGGUUGGUCUGUAUUGACUUGGCAGGAAACUAUUUGGGCAGUGUAAUCCAUGAGGCUCCAUUCUAAUUAGCGCUUCUUUAGCUCAGUGGAAGUAGAGCAAAUGUUCUGCAUGGAGAAAGAUCCAAUCCUCAGCCUCCCCAGUUAGAGGGCCUUCAGGGUGAUGGUGCUGCACUUACAGAAUGCUUUCCCCAGUGUGGCUCACUUGGUGUCCAUGCUGGAAGCUUUUUUGGUGUCAGGUGAAGAAGAUGCUUCUCUUCUCCCAAGCCUUUUAAUUCUAUACAUUUAGGUCUUGGAACAGUUUUGUCUUCCUUUUGUUUGUGUGAUUUCCACACACCCCCAGCGCUACUUAUUGAUCUUAUGCUGUUAUAUGGUUCAGUGCUACUUUUUAUUAAUUUUGUGCUGGUGUUGCUUGUAUAUAUUGAUAGCCUUUAGUACUGUCGAAUUGCAUUUGUAUUUCAUUGACUUUUAAAUUGUAAGCUACGCAGAGAGCACAGUUGUUUGGGUGAUAAAGACAUGCCUAAAUAAAACACAGACAUUUUUUCUUCAAUUAAUGGUACAAUAAAAUUAGGAGUUUAGGAAGGCGUGAUAGCGAGUUAGCUGAUUUUAUGGGGACAUGCCCCAUUCAGCCAUUUCUAUGCUAAAUCUGUCAUCUACAUGUACCCUUAAAUUCUGAACUUCUACUGUUUUAAUAAUAUAACUGCCCUAUGCAUGUCUACUCAGAAGCAGGUCUCAUUUGUACUUACUCCCAGGUAAGAGCGCUUAGGAUUAAAGCAGGGAUCGCUAAUAUGGUGCCCCCAAGAUAUUGUGGACUACAAUUCCCAUCAGCCUUAAUCAGAAUGGUUAAUGGUCAACGGUGGUGGGAGUUGUAGUCCAAAACAUCUAGAAGGCACCAUGUUGGCCACUUCUAAAUAGGAUUAAAGUCUAAAUGACCUAUGAUGUCCAUUCCAACUUGGUGCAGCAGGAUCCUAAACAUGAUCUACCUGCUGCAGCCCUAGAAGGCUCUGUACAAAAACUCCCUACUUUAGAAUUAAAUGCAUUGUUCAAAUUACAGAUUAUGUGAAAGUUAUUGGAGUCAUUGGAUUCCUCAGUCUUAUGUGAUUUAUGAGACACACAUUAUUCCUCAGCUGUAGCAAAUGCAGUAAACAUUCAUUUGAUACAGCACUUCCCACAAAGGAAUGUACAAGGAAGAAGUGAGGGAUAGUUUAUAAAAUACAAAUUAAGCAUGAAUAUAGUGGUUGGUAUUUUCUUUCCUCUACAAAAUAUCCUCAUUCACAGCCCUCUCAGCUCUUAUAGUCUUAGCUUUCAACUCAUUUCUGCCUGAGCUGCUUCUCUUGAUGUCAUAUGGCCACUUUCUGGAUGCUGUUUUCUGUUUUAGAGAGAUCUGGUGUUGCAGAGGGCAGGGGCUGCAUUUCGUGAGUUACCUUUGCAGAACUUAGAUUUGGUAUGCCAAUAUCUAUUAGUCACAAUGGGCUUUUGAAUGGCGCGGGUCUGGUGGUGGCACCAGGCAUCCCUGGGCAGUUACUAGGGCCUCUGCACUCUGACAAGGCCCACCACCACAGUUUGUCUUAAUGGCUCUUUUAUUAUUAUUUUGUUUAAAGACCAAGCCUAGCACUGCAAGGACAAUCUGCUAUUUCAAUUUUCCACAAUAUUCUGGAGCAACAUUACAUCAAGCGCAUUGUCAAAAUUAAAAUGUCCAGCUGCUCAACACUUACUGCCUCUGCCAGCAGCACCAGGUAUGCGUGCCAGGGCCUAUCAUUUGGGGAAGAGGGCUACUAGCAGAGGCGGGAAGCCAUCAGAGGGCACUUUGCCCAAAGCCUUCUCAAACUUGGAGGCAGCAAGUUGGUGGAGAGAGGUCUAGUGGUUUUGGAACUUCAAAUGGAAGCAGCUAUCAAGCUGAUAGAAGGGAACUGGUUUUCAGUUUCCCAUCCUGGUCAGUGAAAGCUAAUGUUUAGCUGGUCAGUGAAAGCUAAUGUUUUUGCAGACCCUGGUCUGGUUUGCUAAUCCUACUCAGACCCAUUGAAAACAACAGACAUGACUAAUUUAGGUCCAUGAACUUCAUGGUCCAUGAACAGGACUUAGUUGGCUACAACACAUUGCUUCUAUAUGCGUAUGUGUUUUGAAAGUUUGCUUCCACACAAAUUAGGUCUCCAAACUUUUAAUGUUUUUUUUAAAGGUGGAUUCUAAGACGAUCUGGACACCAGUUUGUAGUAUGCAAUGCAAUCAGAGUUGGAUUUGAGUAAACUUUGCAGGAAUUGAAUGAGAUAGUUUGGAAGGGUUGAGAGGAGAAACCUCGUUAUGAUAGGGGUAAGGCUGUGCUACUUUUAAACAUUGUCACUACCAAGAUUUCUAGAGCAUCUAAAGCCGCUUGGAACAAGUUCCAUAUUCCCUCAAUUGCUGCAUCAUUAACAAACAUAAGCCCCCAAAUUCAGGCAACAGAGAGAGUAUAAAAACCCCAUGUACACACAUACACAAUUUAAUUUUUGAGAUUUUUACACCACAGCCCUGUCUAUAGAUCCCUGUGAUGUUCAGGAAAAAAUUUUAAAAAGCAAAACCCACCCAGCACACUAAAUCCCAAGGCUGUAACAUUUACAAAUACUGUGCUGCUUACAGUUUACAAAUUAAUCUGAUCUGGUGCAGUAUCCAGGUUAGAGUCUACCUUUUAAAAGAAGAAAGAGAGAGAGGUUAUAAUCAGGUAUAGAUUAUCAUUGGGUUACACAAAAUUUGUUAGCCCCUUUCUGCUCUUCUUCUUCCUUUUAUAUAUAUACCACUUGGUUGCCCGGGUAGUUUCUAAGCAGGUGGUUUCUAAGCAGUUUACAAGUAUAAAACUAAUUAC
Non-coding RNA from Podarcis lilfordi (Lilford's wall lizard), 6362 nucleotides. NCBI's taxonomy places the organism in Eukaryota, Metazoa, Chordata, Lepidosauria, Squamata, Lacertidae. The record is from the annotation of a GenBank genome assembly.